RNAcentral lists this transfer RNA (91 nucleotides) under Herpetosiphon sp. RNAcentral's name for it is "tRNA-Ser". It matches the Rfam family "tRNA". Rfam says of the family: Transfer RNA (tRNA) molecules are approximately 80 nucleotides in length. Their secondary structure includes four short double-helical elements and three loops (D, anti-codon, and T loops). The record is from RNAcentral. Lineage: Bacteria; Bacillati; Chloroflexota; Chloroflexia; Herpetosiphonales; Herpetosiphonaceae.
GGGAAGGUGGCAGAGCUGGUCGAAUGUACCGCCCUCGAAAUGCGGCAGGGUGUAAUAGCCCUCGUGGGUUCGAAUCCCACCCUUCCCGCCA